This 540-nucleotide ribosomal RNA is filed under the name Lodderomyces parapsilosis. Its description in RNAcentral is "Candida parapsilosis partial large subunit ribosomal RNA". It matches the Rfam family "Eukaryotic large subunit ribosomal RNA", at positions 99 to 655 of the family's 3401-position model. The record is from RNAcentral. Lineage: Eukaryota; Fungi; Ascomycota; Pichiomycetes; Serinales; Debaryomycetaceae.
GCGGCAAAGCUCAAAUUUGAAAUCUGGCACUUUCAGUGUCCGAGUUGUAAUUUGAAGAAGGUAUCUUUGGGUCUGGCUCUUGUCUAUGUUUCUUGGAACAGAACGUCACAGAGGGUGAGAAUCCCGUGCGAUGAGAUGUCCCAGACCUAUGUAAAGUUCCUUCGAAGAGUCGAGUUGUUUGGGAAUGCAGCUCUAAGUGGGUGGUAAAUUCCAUCUAAAGCUAAAUAUUGGCGAGAGACCGAUAGCGAACAAGUACAGUGAUGGAAAGAUGAAAAGAACUUUGAAAAGAGAGUGAAAAAGUACGUGAAAUUGUUGAAAGGGAAGGGCUUGAGAUCAGACUUGGUAUUUUGUAUGUUACUCUCUCGGGGGUGGCCUCUACAGUUUACCGGGCCAGCAUCAGUUUGAGCGGUAGGAUAAGUGCAAAGAAAUGUGGCACUGCUUCGGUAGUGUGUUAUAGUCUUUGUCGAUACUGCCAGCUUAGACUGAGGACUGCGGCUUCGGCCUAGGAUGUUGGCAUAAUGAUCUUAAGUCGCCCGUCUU